AGCUUUUUGAAUCCGUGCUGAGAUUUCGUCAGACACCAACCCAUUAGGGCUGAUCAGACUAACGGAUAUAAGUAGUA
This 77-nucleotide microRNA precursor is filed under the name Schistosoma mansoni. RNAcentral describes it as "mir-3492 microRNA precursor family". It matches the Rfam family "mir-3492 microRNA precursor family". Lineage: Eukaryota; Metazoa; Platyhelminthes; Trematoda; Strigeidida; Schistosomatidae. The record is from Rfam by way of RNAcentral.